UAAGAGUUAGUUUAAAAAAGAAUUGUUGAUUGUUGAUCAGAAGGUUUGUCUCUUAA
This 56-nucleotide transfer RNA is filed under the name Bunostomum trigonocephalum (sheep hookworm). Its description in RNAcentral is "tRNA-Asn". Lineage: Eukaryota; Metazoa; Nematoda; Chromadorea; Rhabditida; Ancylostomatidae. The record is from RNAcentral.